Long non-coding RNA from Panicum virgatum (switchgrass), 348 nucleotides. RefSeq lists it as uncharacterized. Lineage: Eukaryota; Viridiplantae; Streptophyta; Magnoliopsida; Poales; Poaceae. The record is from RefSeq and is a predicted model, not a curated record. The transcript has 2 exons.
AGGAUCUCAGUCUACUUUCGUUGGUGCUUUGAUGACUUGUCUUGAUGAAAAAGAUGAAGAAAUGGAUGAAGAUGAUUCCACCAUAAUUGAUGAAUGAAUGAAAAUGAAUAACUAUGUAAUAAUGUUAUUUGUUUGGAGGCCUAGUGGCUAGUGGCCUACUGUUAUUUGUUUGGUGAACCAUGGAUGUUGAUUUCUAUUGUUUCACUUGUAUUGAACAUUUGAACUUUGGAGUGCUCCCUGUGUCUGUGUGGUGCUACUUUGUUUGUAAUAAUCUCAACUAUUUGUAAUAAUCUCACUGCACUAUGUCUUGCUAGAAUGUAGUUGCUGUCAUGUUUGUUUGAUUGUUUA